AUAACAGUAAUUUUCAGUGCAGAAAUCAUGAUAUGCAUAAAAUUUUGAAGAGGUAACAUAAUCAGAAUGCUUAAAUUCGUAUCUUGUUCAGUCGUUCCUUGUACAACAUCAGUUUUUAUCUUCCUUUGUCUUUAAUUUCUAAUAUGCUACAGCUCAGGUGAAGCAACUCGCAAAGUAAGGGCCUAACGAAUAGUGAGCGAUGAUGUAGGGUCCAAAGGGCAGAGGCCUUUUGGCUACCUGUAAAAGCUUGAUUCAGCAAGUUCGAAACAGCUGUAGUCACUUGUUCGGAAAUGUUGAUGACCAUUAAGUGAGAAUAUUAAAUAACUUACCAUUGUGAAUUAUGUUGAUUAAGUUUUUGCUAAAGAAAAUCCUUCUUUCGAAUUUCCAGCUUCUUGCUCUGAAGCAAGUUGCCUUUUCCUUUUUUGAUUUUCUAUAUCUCGCAAUACUCCUUCAUGCAUUCUCAUUCUGAAAAAUGAGCAUUGUUUCACUAACACUUAAUAAAGAAGAAAAGAGGAUAAAAAUUCGGGAAUGAAAAAUUAAAUACUUUAAACGACUGAGAUGAAAUUAACAGUACAUCACAGGUACACAUUGGGCAUACUUGGGCUCUACACCCAAUCCAAUCCAUGAUCCAUGCCAGACAUAGCUAGACAUGACUAAUGACUGAACAAGUCUGAACAUGUUUGGCUCCUUGGUCCAAGGUCACCCAGUGAUGCCUACCAUGUAUGUAAAGAAGGAAAAUUUUGGGUUAAGCGCAAAAAUGAAACAGUGAACAUUAUUUAAAUUGAGUGAUAUAUAUUAAUAUUUAUAAUACUGACCUGUGUGAAACACUUUUUCUUUUUUCAAAGUUUUCUUCCGGAGCCAUCGCCAAUGGGAGCUGUCUCCCAUCAAAUCUAUGCAGACAGUAAUCUAGAGAUACACGAUGAAGAGUUCAUUUGCGAGUGUUGACAACUCUAGUUUGGUGAACACAAUCAGCACUAUUUUAGAACAUCUCGGACGCAAGAAGGAGAACUACCCUGGGAAAUAUCUCAGCAGGGACCAUAUUUCUGGAAAUCUUCUUUUUCCUUUUUCUGCAACCCAGAAACCACCUACCCUAGCAGAAAUCUCAAGGAAAGCAGAGACAGAGGUUCUAACGAUUGAUGAUGUCAAGACGGAUCAUAAUUCAAAGACUUUUAAAGUUUUCUUAAACCAAAGUAUUGUUUUUCAAACUACAUUAGAAACAGUUGCUGACUAUGCAGAAACUUAUGGGGCAAAUUUUUCAGUUGGAAUACAAUAUCAGAUGACAAAUCUGAGCCAACCCUUCGAAGAAUCAGACCACCUAUCUCUCUAUCGCUUGUAUUUGAGCUCUGAUGUUUUAAGAAGCUUUUCUUUGUUCGUUGAAGCUGGGAAAAGUGUGUAUGAAAAUUCUAAUAGAAGGCAUGGAGAUUGUGAAUCAAAGAAUAUUUUGGUAUGCAGUCAUCAGACCAGGACACGGAGAUGUAGUCAGACCAUUCAGGUUGUAUGCCGAACAGAAGUAAAUCAAUUGAAUGGCAGAAAAAACUUAGACAUUAGUUAUGCAGCAUAUAAAAUACUCAGGGAAAAGGAUGUCAAGAGAGAUGAUGAGUUUAAGAAUGAUGAUAGUUCAAAAAUUUCAAGAAUCGUCGAUGCUUGUAUAUCUUUUGAUCUCUUAACGACCAAACUUAGUAUGCCUGUUCAUCUGAACAUUGAUGCUGAUCGUAUUACAUCUCGAAAUCCGUCCACCAAAGGUAAGAUUUUUGGUAUACCGAAGAUGAGAGAGAAACUGAUGAAUGCCAAAACGGUUUCUAUCUUGUAUCUCAAACAUGAGUUGCCGAUCUUGGUUCUAAAUUUUAAAGAAUGA
RNAcentral lists this long non-coding RNA (1855 nucleotides) under Bemisia tabaci. Its description in RNAcentral is "lncRNA ENSSSA1UGG003859". The record is from RNAcentral. Lineage: Eukaryota; Metazoa; Arthropoda; Insecta; Hemiptera; Aleyrodidae.